Molecule: non-coding RNA, 22 nt
Filed under: Rattus norvegicus (Norway rat)
Lineage: Eukaryota; Metazoa; Chordata; Mammalia; Rodentia; Muridae
Source: RNAcentral
AGUACUGAGUUGGCCAACAUGG